UUGUCUUUUUGGCAUUCAUAGAGAAGUUUGAAGCAAACAAGAACGCAAGCGUCUUGAAGCUAUUUAUGCAACCAGCCGGCAAAUUGCCAAAUCACUGCUGGGCUAUGCCCUUUAGGGUGGCUGGAAAGCAACGACACCAUGCGGCAUCAUCCAACCCCUGAAAAUACAUGAGGAGGGUGUAUGCUAGCAGGUGGUCUUCUGGGUUGGAGGUCCCGUCAUAGGCUCCAACCAGAACAUUUUUAACUUUAGCCGGCUGUACGGCUUCAGUUAUUUCCCUGGAGAAAGCAGAGGGUUGAUCUCCAAGGUGUUGCAGCCUAAGCUGCCAGUCCAUCGGCUGAUAGCCGUAUGCCGCAUGUCCUCUAAAGAGGGCAGGUUGCAUGUAAGGUAAAACUGGCGCCUGGUACAAUGGUUGUGCCAUGUACUGGGCCGACUGAAUCAUAUGAGGACCAGACUGAACCCGUUGGCUACUUGCAGGAGUCUCAUGUACAGACUGGGAACACCUCACAGAGGUAUUCCGAAAGCUAUCAUGAUAAGUCGACGUUGAAGCCGACUCUGAUAGCUGGGUUCUCUUCUCCUCAAUGUAUUGCCGAGCGUCAAAGAACGUUUUCUUGCUACCAUCCGGCUGUAUGUGCCGGAUGGCUUUUCUUGUGCCCAUUUCUGGGAAAUGAAGCCGAGUAAGGUCAAACUGGGGCCGGGCCUUCUCCUUAGGGGCAGGAUGAGGAGUUGGCUAACGGUCCCUGACCGACUUAUGUUUGCCAGCUUGGGCUGGCUUCUUUGCCGACUGCUCCUUUCUAGGAGCAGGUGACUUCUUUGAGGUGAGUUGUUUGAUUUCACCCCUGAGGCUGCUCAGGAGUGUCAUUAGUUCAUCUCGAGUGACGGGAGUCGAUCCUGCCGCCUGGGAAGGAUCAACUGGCCGCCCCGAGGGCUUCUUUGGCUAACCAGCAGUUUUGCUUGGGUCUGCCUGGUCAUGGUGGCGCUCCAGCCUCUCCUUACUGCGGAUGCGUUUAGAGAUGAGGGAUCCAUUUGGAUCCACAUAGGUUUCGACAUCAGCGUCGUCACCUGAGUCAUGAUCCGUUUUGACCUCUACGUCUUCUGGAGGUCGAUUGGCCUCUGGGUUCGGUACAGGUUCUUGUGAAGCCAUUUCAGAGGUACUCUCCCCACAGACGACGCCAAAUGUUUCGGGGGUUUUUGUCCCUUGGGAGAGUUACAACACUGAGACUGGAUUCAACAAAGGAUGCCUGCACCUGCAAAGCAAACGGACCGCCGGAUGGUCGGUGGUCCGCCUCCGAAGAUUAAGUUAGUAAGGGUUCGGUAAUAAAACGUGCGGAAGUAAAGUUUAUCUGCUCGAAUUCCAAGCUCAGGUAAAGUGUUGUGUGUUCCUUGAAAACGACAGCUCUGUGGUAAGUGACGUGUUGUCUCGUAUUGCGUGUAUAUUCUAUGUUUUGUCAUAAAUGGAAGAAUGUCCCUAUUUAUAGGGUCCUUUUGGAAAGUGUGCCCCUCCUAGGAUCUAGUGACCUAGGAAUUAGGUCACACCACUUUUUAAAGGGCCCCUUAAGAUUUGGGCCUUGAAAGCCGCCAAUCCCAGGGGGCAAUAUCUGCUCGACACGUGUCACCAUCUGGAUUGGGCCAACUAAGUGCCCCUUCCAGUGACACGUGUCAUGCUCUGAUUGGGCCACUUGGCAGGGUAUAAAAUACCCAAAUCAAUGAGCAUCAAUCAACUUUCUCAAAUGAAGAACAGGCAAAGUAUAAAAAUCUCAUGGAAGCUUCUGAAAAAGGCUUAUACGAGGGGUGUACUACUUUACCGAAACUUUCAUUUCGAUUGCAUUUGUUUCACCUAAAGUGUAUGUUCCAUUGGUCUGGAGAGUCAUUUAUUAAAUUAUUUGAACUUCUAAUUGACGCAUUUUCCAUUAUUAAGGAGUUUCCAUCGUCCUAUUAUGAAGGCAUGAAGAUAAUAAAUGAUUUAGGGUUAGGAUAUGAGAAAAUCUAUGCAUGUCCAAAUGACUGCAUGUUAUAUUGGGGAAAAUUCGCAAAUAAAAGUGAGUGUCAUAUAUGCCAUACAUCAAGGUGGAAAAGUGUGAAAGGAAAGGAGGGUGAUGUAAAUGAAAAAGGAAAAGAAGCAUGUAAGAAAGGCGAGGCAGCUAGAGUAAUGCGGUACUUUCCCCUUAUCCCUAGAUUAAAGAGGCUUUCAUGUCAUCUAAAACUGUAGAGGACAUGAGAUGGCACUUUAAUCGUAAGGAUGAUAAGAUUCUACGACACCCUGCUGAUGGCAAGACUUGGAAAAUAUUUAAUGAAAAUAUACAGAGUUUGCCGCUGAUCCUCGCAGUGUUAAAUUAGGCCUAGCAAGUGAUGGUUUUAAUUCAUAUCGUCUUAUGAACACAAAUUAUAGUACAUGGCCGGUGGUCCUCAUUCCUUAUAAUUUACCACCAUGGCUUUGCAUGAAACCAUCAUCCUUUAUUCUUUCUAUAAUUAUUCCUGGUAAAUUUGGUCCCGGUAUGGAUAUUGAUGUGUACUUGCAACCACUAAUCCAUGAAUUGAAAUUAUUGUGGGAAGGUGUUGAUGCUUUUAAUUCUUAAGUGGAAGCAACUUCAAACUACGAGCAGCCCUACACUCUACUAUUAAUGACUUUGCGGCUUAUGCUAUGCUGUCAGGUUGGAGUACGAAAGGCUACAAAGCUUGUCCUUCUUGCACUCAUUCUACUUAUUCAGAUAGAUUUGGUGGCAAAAUUAUCUACCCUGGGUAUCGAAAAUUGUUUCCUAUUGAUCACCCAUAUCGUUCACAAGCUAAUUUGUUUGAUGGGAAAGAAGCUUACUGUGCAUGAAGCAAUAUUUAAUAUCUUAUUCAUAAUUAUAUAAUAAAUACAUACUCUUUGAAUGUGAGUGCAGGAUAUGUCAGAAUGCGGUAAAAAAGCAUGAGCCUCCCAAAAUCAGUUUCAUACAUCUGGCUCUAAAAGUUUUGCAAACCGACAAGCUGAUUAUGAAGAUGAACAUGGACAAAAAAUGAGCUUGUUAGAGCUGUGGAUUAAAACCCAUACGGGUAAAGAUGGAAGCUUUCUUCCUAACACAGUCACUGAAGUUUUGUGGAUGAUGUUAAAGCUAAGGUUGAAGAGUUGAGGAUGAUGCACCCUAAGAUGUCUGAACAAGAGCUCGAAGAUGAAGCAUUUCAGCAAACUAUGUAUGGCAAUGAGAUUCCCAAUCGUCCUGUAGGAUACGGAUUAGGGGUUAAAAAGGGGACAUUUUCGGAGUACAUGGUGUGUUAAGGAAGGAAGGGUAUGGAAAAGUUCAAAAGAGGAAUAUUGUGAUGGAUAGUGUUAAAGAAGAAGUGAAUGCUUUGCACAAAAAAAAUGAUACACUAUCCCAAGAAAAUGAAAAGUUGAAAGACCGGGUCGGACACAACAAUCUUCUUCUUAAAGCGCUUGUUGGACAAUUUUCUCAGAUUGUAGGUGCAGUUUGUCAAGGGAAUGCAUCUCCGGAUCUUUUAAACAAAGCAUUUGAGUUCUUAGGAAAGGCAAAGCAUCAAGUAAUCUCUUUAUAACUGAAAUCAGAGCUGAAAUCCAGAACUGAAUUCAGAUUUGAAGUUCAAAACUAAAAAUUAGAUUUGAAAUCAAAAUUGAAAUUCAAAAUGCUUGUCUGCCCUGCUCCCCUACUGCUUGUCUGCCAUGCUCAUUUGUAAAAAAAAAACUUGAAAAAACUUCAAGAUUAGUAUGUUGGGACUAAGGCUUUAUUGUUUUUACUAUGUAUUAUAGGAACUAGGAAGAGAUCUAUUGCCGACAGUUGGUUAAUAAAUUUUGUGGGACUAAGGCUCAAA
Long non-coding RNA from Chenopodium quinoa (quinoa), 3804 nucleotides. RefSeq lists it as uncharacterized. The record is from RefSeq and is a predicted model, not a curated record. The transcript has 3 exons. Lineage: Eukaryota; Viridiplantae; Streptophyta; Magnoliopsida; Caryophyllales; Amaranthaceae.